RNAcentral lists this ribosomal RNA (240 nucleotides) under uncultured bacterium. Its description in RNAcentral is "partial 16S ribosomal RNA". It matches the Rfam family "Bacterial small subunit ribosomal RNA", at positions 98 to 339 of the family's 1533-position model. The record is from RNAcentral.
GCGCACGGGUGAGUAAUACAUGGGAACGUGCCUCUGAAUGGGGGAUAACUACGGGAAACUGUAGCUAAUACCGCAUAGAAACGAGAGUUUAAAGCUGGCCUCUAUUUAUAAGCUAGUGUUCAGAGAUCGGCCCAUGUCCCAUUAGCUAGUUGGCGGGGUAAAAGCCCACCAAGGCUACGAUGGGUAGCUGGUCUGAGAGGACGAUCAGCCACACUGGAACUGAGACACGGUCCAGACUCC